This 253-nucleotide ribosomal RNA is filed under the name uncultured bacterium. Its description in RNAcentral is "partial 16S ribosomal RNA". It matches the Rfam family "Bacterial small subunit ribosomal RNA", at positions 524 to 776 of the family's 1533-position model. The record is from RNAcentral.
UACGAAGGGGGCUAGCGUUGCUCGGAAUCACUGGGCGUAAAGGGUGCGUAGGCGGGUUUUUAAGUCAGGGGUGAAAUCCUGGAGCUUAACUCCAGAACUGCCUUUGAUACUGAAGAUCUUGAGUCCGGGAGAGGUGAGUGGAACUGCGAGUGUAGAGGUGAAAUUCGUAGAUAUUCGCAAGAACACCAGUGGCGAAGGCGGCUCACUGGCCCGGUACUGACGCUGAGGCACGAAAGCGUGGGGAGCAAACAGG